This is a small nucleolar RNA of Protopterus annectens (West African lungfish), 131 nucleotides long. RefSeq annotates it as small nucleolar RNA SNORA63. The transcript has a single exon. The record is from RefSeq and is a predicted model, not a curated record. Lineage: Eukaryota; Metazoa; Chordata; Ceratodontiformes; Protopteridae.
UUGCAGGUUAGGUUACAACAUAACUGUUUUGUGUUGUGUUGUCGUUCACCCUGCAGAAAUAAAACUUUAGUUCUUGGUUAUCUUUGCCUGUUUCUGUCCCAUAACAGGCAGGGAUGCUUGGUUUCUAACAG